Molecule: ribosomal RNA, 2761 nt
Filed under: anaerobic digester metagenome
Description: bacterial LSU rRNA
Rfam family: Bacterial large subunit ribosomal RNA
Source: RNAcentral
CUAAGUAAUCCUUAGAAACUUUUAUGCUUGACAUAAAAGAGCAGACCCAGGGAAGUAAAACAUUUCAGUACCUGGAGGAAAAGAGAAAAAUAUUUAUUUUCUGAGUAGCGGCGAGCGAAAAGGAAAGAGCCCAAACCGUGUGCAUCACAUUGCAUGUGAUACAAUUACGAAUUAAUAAUUACGAAUUACGAAUUUAAUGCAUUUUUGCAUUCCAUUCGUAAUUCGUAAUUCGUAAUUUUUAAUUGUCAUCGCGCGUAGCGUGAUGUACAUGGGGUUGUAAGGUGACAAUGUAGAUUUAUCUAGAGAAGUUACAAAAUGUGUUAUUAGAUUAAACUUCUGGAAAGAAGUGCCAUAGACGGUGAUAGCCCGGUGAUCGAAAAUUCCACAUCUUCUUGGUUGUCAUUCUUGAGUAACUCAAGACACGAAUAGCUUGAGUGAAUCCACCAGAACUAACUGGUAAGGCUAAAUACUUUUUUAGAUCGAUAGUGAACUAGUACCGUGAGGGAAAGGUGAAAAGAACCCCGAUGAGGGGAGUGAAAUAGACCUGAAACCAUAUACUUACAAGGAGUCGGAGCGGUCAUCACACAGUGUGUGAUGUAAUUACGAAUUAAUAAUUACGAAUUACGAAUGGAAUGCAAAAAUGCAUUAAAUUCGUAAUUCGUAAUUCGUAAUUUUUAAUUGGCAUCGUGCUUUGCGCGAUGACCGUCACGGCGUGCCUAUUGAAGAAUGAGCCAACGAGUUUAUCUAUGCUGCAGGCUAAGUUGUUAGAACAACGGAGCCUUAGGGAAACCGAGUGUUAAUAGCGCGAAAUAUAUGUAGUCUAGAUAAGACCCGAAGCCAGGUGAGCUUGCCAUGAGCAGGUUGAAGUUUGUCGAAAGACAGAUGGAGGACCGAACCGGUGACCCGUGCAAUAGUCUCGGAUGACUUGUGGUAAGGAGUGAAAAGCUAAUCGAACCUGGUAAUAGCUGGUUCUCUCCGAAAUAGCUUUAGGGCUAGCGUUGCGUGUUCCUCUUGGGGGUAGAGCACUGGAAGGUUUCGACAGGGAGCAAUCUCGCGAAUUCUAUCAAACUCCGAAUACCAAGAGUUAAAAGCGCAGCAGUUAGGCUAUGGGGGCGAAGCUCCAUCAGCCAAAAGGGAAACAGCCCAGAUCUCUAAUUAAGGUCCCAAAAUUUAUGUUGAGUGCAAAACAAGGAGGUGAAAUUUCUCUGACAAUGAGGAUGUUGGCUUAGAAGCAGCCAUCAUUUAAAGAAAGCGUAACAGCUCACUCAUCCAGAGAUUUCGCACCGAAAAUAAUCGGGGCUAAACAUAAUACCGAAAUUGAGGGCUUGAGUGCAUCACAUUGCAUGUGAUGCAAUUAAUAAUUACGAAUUAAGAAUUAAGAAUUGGAUGCAUUUUGUAUUUCAUUAUUAAUUAUUAAUUAUUAAUUCUUAAUUGCACAUCGCAUAUAGUGUGAUGUGCUUGAGCGGUAGGAGAGUAUUCCACUCAGCGUCGAAGCCAAAGAGGUGACUCAUGGUGGAGCGUGUGGAAGUAAGAAUGUUGGCACAAGUAACCGCAAGGAAGGUGAGAUCCCUUCCCGCCGAAAGAUCAAGGUUUCCUGGGCAAUGGUAAUCAUCCCAGGGUUAGUCGGUCCUAAGGAGAUGGCGAUAGCCGCAUCCGAUGGGCAUAGGGUUAAUAUUCCCUAACUUCUGUUAUAUUCGAUGAUAGGACGGAGUGUAGUAUAUAAGGCUCAUUAUUGGAUUUGAGUUUGUUAGUAAGGGUGCUUCCUAGGAAAAUCCGGGAAGUGACGUCAAAGUAACACCUAAGCGAAACAUAAAUGUAAGGUUUCGAUCUUGCAGAUUUUAUAAAGCACACUUCCAAGAAAAGUAUCUAAGGUUAAUAUAAUAGAAUCCGUACCGCAAACCGACACAGGUGAUCAGGUCGAGUAGACCAAGGCGAACGAGUGAGAGGUCUUCAAGGAACUCGGCAAAAAAGCAGCCGUAACUUUGGAAUAAGGCUUGCCAUUUUUAAUUUAUUAAAAAUGGCCGCAGCGAAAGUAUCUCUGGCAACUGUUUAUCAAAAACACAGCUCCCUGCGAACACGUAAGUGGAUGUAUAGGGGGUGAUGCCUGACCAAUGCCAGAAGGUCAAAUAUCGGUGGUCUAUGUCGCAAGAUGUAGGCUGGCUGAUAUAAGCCCUGGUGAAUGUCGGCCGUAACUAUAACGGUCCUAAGGUAGCGAAGUACCUUGUCGGGUAAGUUCCGACGCGCACGAAUGGCAUAAUGACUGGAGAGCUGUCUCGAAGACCUGCUCGGUGAAAAUACAAUACCGGUGAAGAUGCCGGUUACCUGCAGAUAGACGAAAAGACCCUAGAAGCUUUACUGCAGCUUGAUAUUGAGUAUAUGGUUAUACUGCGUAGCAUAGAUGGGAGAGGUUUGAAGUGUACGAUUUCGGUUGUGCUCUACUCGACAGUGAAAUACCAUUCUUUGUGACGAUAUAUUCUAAUCUUAACGGCAAAAACGGUAAGAGACAGUAUCUGGUGGGUAGUUUUACUGGGGCGGUAUCCUCCUAAAGAGUAACGGAGGAGUUUAUUAAGGUUAGCUAGGCGCGAAUGGAAACCGUGCCGAUAGUGUAAUGGCACAAGCUAGCUUAACUGUAAGACGUACAUGUCGAGCAGAUACGAAAGUAGAACAUAGUGAACCGACAUUUCGCAUUAGAUGCGGAUGAAGAUUAACGGAUAAAAGCUACUCUAGGGAUAACAGGCUAGUUCCGCCUAAGAGUUCAUAU